UACGUAGGGGGCAAGCGUUGUCCGGAUUUAUUGGGCGUAAAGAGCGUGUAGGCGGCCUGAAAGGUCAGCUGUGAAAACUCGAGGCUCAACCUCGAGACGUCGGUUGAAACCAUCUGGCUAGAGUCCGGAAGAGGAGUGUGGAAUUCCCGGUGUAGCGGUGAAAUGCGCAGAUAUCGGGAAGAACACCCGUGGCGAAGGCGGCGCUCUGGGACGGUACUGACGCUGAGACGCGAAAGCGUGGGGAGCGAACAGG
Molecule: ribosomal RNA, 253 nt
Filed under: uncultured bacterium
Lineage: Bacteria
Description: partial 16S ribosomal RNA
Rfam family: Bacterial small subunit ribosomal RNA
Source: RNAcentral